GUAGUUGUAUGGAAAUUUCAACUCAAAAUCUUUGAAAUGAUACAAAGAAGAUUAGCAUGGCCCAUGUGCAAAGAUGACAUGCAAAUUUGUGAAGUGUUCAGUAUAUUU
Small nuclear RNA from Vulpes vulpes (red fox), 108 nucleotides. Lineage: Eukaryota; Metazoa; Chordata; Mammalia; Carnivora; Canidae. The record is from Ensembl.